RNAcentral lists this ribosomal RNA (496 nucleotides) under uncultured bacterium. RNAcentral describes it as "partial 16S ribosomal RNA". It matches the Rfam family "Bacterial small subunit ribosomal RNA", at positions 29 to 507 of the family's 1533-position model. The record is from RNAcentral.
AUGCACGCUGGCGGCGUGCCUAAUACAUGCAAGUCGCGCGAACAGACGAGGAGCUUGCUCCUCUGACGUUAGCGGCGGACGGGUGAGUAACACGUGGAUAACCUACCUAUAAGACUGGGAUAACUUCGGGAAACCGGAGCUAAUACCGGAUAACAUGUUGAACCGCAUGGUUCAACAGUGAAAGACGGUCUUGCUGUCACUUAUAGAUGGAUCCGCGCCGCAUUAGCUAGUUGGUAAGGUAACGGCUUACCAAGGCAACGAUGCGUAGCCGACCUGAGAGGGUGAUCGGCCACACUGGAACUGAGACACGGUCCAGACUCCUACGGGAGGCAGCAGUAGGGAAUCUUCCGCAAUGGGCGAAAGCCUGACGGAGCAACGCCGCGUGAGUGAAGAAGGUCUUCGGAUCGUAAAACUCUGUUAUUAGGGAAGAACAAAUGUGUAAGUAACUAUGCACGUCUUGACGGUACCUAAUCAGAAAGCCACGGCUAACUACGUG